UACGGAGGAUGCGAGCGUUAUCCGGAUUUAUUGGGUUUAAAGGGUGCGUAGGCGGACGCUUAAGUCAGCGGUAAAAUUGCGGGGCUCAACCUCGUCGAGCCGUUGAAACUGGGUGCCUUGAGUGGGCGAGAAGUACGCGGAAUGCGUGGUGUAGCGGUGAAGUGCAUAGAUAUCACGCAGAACUCCGAUUGCGAAGGCAGCGUACCGGCGCCCAACUGACGCUGAAGCACGAAGGCGUGGGCAUCGAACAGG
RNAcentral lists this ribosomal RNA (252 nucleotides) under uncultured bacterium. RNAcentral describes it as "partial 16S ribosomal RNA". It matches the Rfam family "Bacterial small subunit ribosomal RNA", at positions 524 to 776 of the family's 1533-position model. The record is from RNAcentral.